RNAcentral lists this ribosomal RNA (253 nucleotides) under uncultured bacterium. RNAcentral's name for it is "partial 16S ribosomal RNA". It matches the Rfam family "Archaeal small subunit ribosomal RNA", at positions 474 to 727 of the family's 1478-position model. The record is from RNAcentral.
UACCAGCACCCCGAGUGGUCGGGACGAUUAUUGGGCCUAAAGCAUCCGUAGCCGGUUCUACAAGUCUUCCGUUAAAUCCACCUGCUUAACAGAUGGGCUGCGGAGGAUACUAUAGAGCUGGGAGGCGGGAGAGGCAAGCGGUACUUAGUGGGUAGGGGUAAAAUCCGUUGAUCCAUUGAAGACCACCAGUGGCGAAGGCGGCUUGCCAGAACGCACUCGACGGUGAGGGAUGAAAGCUGGGGGAGCAAACCGG